Molecule: ribosomal RNA, 289 nt
Filed under: uncultured Endozoicomonas sp.
Lineage: Bacteria; Pseudomonadati; Pseudomonadota; Gammaproteobacteria; Oceanospirillales; Endozoicomonadaceae
Description: partial 16S ribosomal RNA
Rfam family: Bacterial small subunit ribosomal RNA
Source: RNAcentral
CGAGCGCACCCUUGUCCUCAGUUACCAGCACGUCAUGGUGGGCACUCUGGGGAGACUGCCGGUGACAAACCGGAGGAAGGUGGGGACGACGUCAAGCCAUCAUGGCCCUUACGGCCAGGGCUACACACGUGCUACAAUGGUGCAUACAGACGGUUGCCAAGCCGCAAGGUGGAGCUAAUCUGAGAAAGUGCAUCGUAGUCCGGAUUGGGGUCUGCAACUCGACCCCAUGAAGUCGGAAUCGCUAGUAAUCGUGAAUCAGAAUGUCACGGUGAAUACGUUCCCGGGCCUU